This 273-nucleotide ribosomal RNA is filed under the name uncultured bacterium. RNAcentral describes it as "partial 16S ribosomal RNA". It matches the Rfam family "Bacterial small subunit ribosomal RNA", at positions 245 to 507 of the family's 1533-position model. The record is from RNAcentral.
CUUAGUUGGUGGGGUAAAGGCUCACCUAGGCGACGAUCCGUAACUGGGUCUGAGAGGAUGAUCAGUCACACUGGAACUGAGACACGGUCCAGACUCCUACGGGAGGCAGCAGUGGGGAAUAUUGGACAAUUGGGCGAAAGCCUGAUCCAGCCAUGCCGCGUGUGUGAAGAAGGUCUUCGGAUUGUAAAGCACUUUAAGUUGGGAGGAAGGGCAGUAAGUUAAUACCUUGCUGUUUUGACGUUACCAACAGAAUAAGCACCGGCUAACUUCGUG